Molecule: long non-coding RNA, 1289 nt
Organism: Loxodonta africana (African savanna elephant)
Lineage: Eukaryota; Metazoa; Chordata; Mammalia; Proboscidea; Elephantidae
Exons: 2
Source: RefSeq, a predicted model, not a curated record
GACCCCAGCCUCGGGCUUCUGCCUGCGGGAAGGUUGCUCCCAUGUAACGCAGCCCUCGGUAUCCUUGUGUGCAGAGUGGGGCAGUGAGGUGUCCGCCCCAGAGGGCGCCUGGUGACCCUCGCACCCCCACGCCCUCUUCCGCGUUGCACCCCAGAAUUCUGGUGCCAUCAAGUCGGUUCCAACUCAUAGUGACCCUGUGUUCAACAGAAGAAAACACUGCCUAGUCAUGUGCCAUCCUCAAAAUAGAUGUUAUGCUGGAGCCCAUUGUUGCAGCCACUGCGUCAAUCCAUCUUGUUGAGGGUCUUCCUCUUUUUUGCUGGCCAUCUACUUUUCCAAGCAUGAUGUCCUUCUCCAGGGACUGAUUCCUCCUGAUAACAUGUCCAGAUUAUGUGACACAUAGUCUCGCCAACCUUACUUCCAAGGAGCAUUCUCGUUGUACUUCUUCCAAGACAGGUUUGUUCAUUCUUUUGGCAGUCCGUGGUAUGUUCCAUAUUCUUCACCAGCACCACAAUUCACAGGUGUCAGUGCUUCAGUCCUAUUUAGUCAUCAUCCAGCUUUCACAUUAGUAUGAGGUGAUUGAAAACACCAUGGCUUGGGUCAGGCACACCUUAUACAAUUGCUUUUUUAAAUUAGCUAAGAGAAGAAAAAGGCAUUCGACUGUGUAAAUUAUAACAAAUUGUGGAUAACACUGCGAAGAAUGAGAAUUCCAGAACACUUAAUUGUGCUUGUGUGGAACCUGUAUUUAGACCAAGAGGCCGUCAUUCGAACAGAUCAAGGGGAUACUGCGUGGUUUAAAAUCAGGAAAGGUGUGUGUCAGGGUUGUAUCCUUUCACCAUACUUAUUCAGUCUGUAUGCUUAGCAAAUAAUCUGAGAAGCUGGACUAUAUGAAGAACGCAGCAUCAGGAUUGGAGGAGGACUCAUUAACAACCUGCAGUAGGCAGUGACACAGCCUUGCUUGCUGAAAGUGAAGAGGACCUGAAGCACUUACUGAUAAAGAUCAAAGACAACAGCCUUCAGUACAGAUUGCACCUCAACAUAAAACAAAAAUCUUCACAACUGGACCAAUAAGCAACAUCACGAUAAACAGAAAAGACUGAAGUUGUCAAGGAUUUCAUUUACUUGGGUCCACAAUCAACGCCCAUGGAAGCAGCAGUCAAGAAAUAGAGGAUGUAUUGCAUUGGGCAGAUCUGCUGCAAAACACCUCUUUAAAGUGUUAAAAAGCAAAGAGGUCACUUUGAAGACUCAGGUGUGCCUGACCCAAAUCAUGGUAUUUUCAGUUGCCUCAUAUG